Molecule: ribosomal RNA, 1490 nt
Filed under: uncultured bacterium
Lineage: Bacteria
Description: bacterial SSU rRNA
Rfam family: Bacterial small subunit ribosomal RNA
Source: RNAcentral
AGAGUUUGAUCCUGGCUCAGGAUGAACACUAGCUACAGGCUUAACACAUGCAAGUCGAGGGGCAUCAGGAAGAAAGCUUGCUUUCUUUGCUGGCGACCGGCGCACGGGUGAGUAACACGUAUCCAACCUGCCCUUUACUCGGGGAUAGCCUUUCGAAAGAAAGAUUAAUACCCGAUGGCAUAAUGAUUCCGCAUGGUUUCAUUAUUAAAGGAUUCCGGUAAAGGAUGGGGAUGCGUUCCAUUAGGUUGUUGGUGAGGUAACGGCUCACCAAGCCUUCGAUGGAUAGGGGUUCUGAGAGGAAGGUCCCCCACAUUGGAACUGAGACACGGUCCAAACUCCUACGGGAGGCAGCAGUGAGGAAUAUUGGUCAAUGGGCGCUGGCCUGAACCAGCCAAGUAGCGUGAAGGAUGAAGGCUCUAUGGGUCGUAAACUUCUUUUAUAUAAGAAUAAAGUGCAGUAUGUAUACUGUUUUGUAUGUAUUAUAUGAAUAAGGAUCGGCUAACUCCGUGCCAGCAGCCGCGGUAAUACGGAGGAUCCGAGCGUUAUCCGGAUUUAUUGGGUUUAAAGGGAGCGUAGGUGGACUGGUAAGUCAGUUGUGAAAGUUUGCGGCUCAACCGUAAAAUUGCAGUUGAUACUGUCAGUCUUGAGUACAGUAGAGGUGGGCGGAAUUCGUGGUGUAGCGGUGAAAUGCUUAGAUAUCACGAAGAACUCCGAUUGCGAAGGCAGCUCACUGGACUGCAACUGACACUGAUGCUCGAAAGUGUGGGUAUCAAACAGGAUUAGAUACCCUGGUAGUCCACACAGUAAACGAUGAAUACUCGCUGUUUGCGAUAUACAGUAAGCGGCCAAGCGAAAGCAUUAAGUAUUCCACCUGGGGAGUACGCCGGCAACGGUGAAACUCAAAGGAAUUGACGGGGGCCCGCACAAGCGGAGGAACAUGUGGUUUAAUUCGAUGAUACGCGAGGAACCUUACCCGGGCUUAAAUUGCAGUGGAAUGAUGUGGAAACAUGUCAGUGAGCAAUCACCGCUGUGAAGGUGCUGCAUGGUUGUCGUCAGCUCGUGCCGUGAGGUGUCGGCUUAAGUGCCAUAACGAGCGCAACCCUUAUCUUUAGUUACUAACAGGUCAUGCUGAGGACUCUGGAGAGACUGCCGUCGUAAGAUGUGAGGAAGGUGGGGAUGACGUCAAAUCAGCACGGCCCUUACGUCCGGGGCUACACACGUGUUACAAUGGGGGGUACAGAAGGCAGCUAGCGGGUGACCGUAUGCUAAUCCCAAAAGCCUCUCUCAGUUCGGAUCGAAGUCUGCAACCCGACUUCGUGAAGCUGGAUUCGCUAGUAAUCGCGCAUCAGCCACGGCGCGGUGAAUACGUUCCCGGGCCUUGUACACACCGCCCGUCAAGCCAUGGGAGCCGGGGGUACCUGAAGUACGUAACCGCAAGGAUCGUCCUAGGGUAAAACUGGUGACUGGGGCUAAGUCGUAACAAGGUAGCC